This is a long non-coding RNA of Gadus morhua (Atlantic cod), 1607 nucleotides long. RefSeq lists it as uncharacterized. The record is from RefSeq and is a predicted model, not a curated record. The transcript has 3 exons. Lineage: Eukaryota; Metazoa; Chordata; Actinopteri; Gadiformes; Gadidae.
GUGUGAUCCCAGAGGCAUUCCCGGAUGGGAGGCAGUCGAUGCCUUGGCAGGGUACCUUGUCAGCCUCAACCGGACGAUAACUGCUCUUUCGAACCAAGAAAUAGCAGAUAUACUGAGGUUGUACUCCAGCCUGGAUGGAAUCGACAAGUCCCCAACAAAGUACUCCCUAAAAAAUAAGAAGACGACCUUGCCAGGGCCAUGGAGAGCUUCUCGGAAACGCAGUGGCUCUGCUCCAGGCCAACAAGCAGCCGAGAGAUUGUUCAUGGUUCAUGGCCAGGCUGCCCAUAGACCCGAUUACACCAGGGUCUCUGAGUGUGUUGCACUGAAGCUUUUCAAGGAGUUCAAGGAAGGCAGAAAUAGACCAAAAGACCCUAAGGGGAGGACAUUUCCAAUUCCUCAGGCUAUUGUUAUGACGUAUGGUCAUAUUAAACAAUUAAUUGAGGAUUGCCAACAAAUCCUGCAAAGCACCAACCUGGUACUGGUGACCAUAAAUAAUACAACAGUCUCUUCUUGGCUGCAGGAUCGGCAGAAGAGGGCCGACCGCGAUUCUCUGCUUCAAGGGGUGGAGCUUCCUCAGCAGGUCCACGUGGCCGAGGAAUCCCUCCUGGAGGCCCUGGACCUACCAUCUGAGCCUGUUCCACAUGGGCAUGCAGAUCUGGAGUUCGAGGAACCUGACAACCGUGAGGGUGAGGCGGUGAUUCGGCGACGCCGACGCAAAACUUAGGUUUCCAGCGAAGACGCUGGAGGAGAUGAUGCUUGGACUGUUCCUUUCCCCUCUUCAUCUGACCUAGCCUAUUGUGAGCAGCGUCAACACCCAGCUCCUGUGUCUCAAUCACAGAGCUGGUACCCAUACCAACCACCUUCAGCUCCAGCGUCUCAAUCUCGUGGCUGGUCCCCAUACCAGCUGCCUCCAACACCGGAGUCUCAGUAUCAGGCCUGGGCCUCUUACCAACGGCCUCCAGCCUCUCACUCUCAGGGCUGGUCGGGGCCCUCAUACCAGCCGCCGCCACCACCACCAGCAGCCCACUUUCAGAGCUGGUCCUCAAAACUGCCGCCACCACCACCUCCAGCAGCUCACUCUCAGGGCUCUUACCAGCUGCCACCAGUGCCAGAUUCUCCACCUCAGGACGGACCUUCUAACCAGCCAGAUCCAGCGUCUCACAAUCGCUACCGGGAAUGGAGGUUACAAAAGGCAGCCUUUGAGGAUCAGGAGCGAGCGAUGAGGGGUGAGCCCCCGAAGAAGCGUCAAAGUAAGGAAAGCUACCACUACCAAUGCAAAAUGUGUGGUAAGGCGAAAAGCAAACUUAUUGGCCACACACAGCUACGGGGGAAAUGGUACUGUCCAGCAUCUGGAAAGACCAUUGCAGAGUGGAAAAGCUCCUUGUAAAAAUGUAAGCAAUGUGUACAUUUGUUUCUAAGAUAUUUCUAUUGGUGUUAAAUCAUUUGUUUUAAGUGUUAAAUCAUUUGUACAAAAAAGUUCAAACAGUUGCAAGUUCACAACAUUUGUAUAGAUUGUUAAAUUCUGCAACUCUAAUAAAACAACAAAAAAAACAACUCUUGUGGUGUAACAGCAACACAGCCAUCCUUUGGGUGGAAGAUUCCAGGUG